UACGUAGGGCGCGAGCGUUGUCCGGAAUUAUUGGGCGUAAAGAGCUUGUAGGCGGUCUGUCGCGUCUGCUGUGAAAAUCCGGGGCUCAACCCCGGACUUGCAGUGGGUACGGGCAGACUAGAGUGUGGUAGGGGAGACUGGAAUUCCUGGUGUAGCGGUGAAAUGCGCAGAUAUCAGGAGGAACACCGAUGGCGAAGGCAGGUCUCUGGGCCGAUACUGACGCUGAGGAGCGAAAGCGUGGGGAGCGAACAGG
RNAcentral lists this ribosomal RNA (253 nucleotides) under uncultured bacterium. RNAcentral's name for it is "partial 16S ribosomal RNA". It matches the Rfam family "Bacterial small subunit ribosomal RNA", at positions 524 to 776 of the family's 1533-position model. The record is from RNAcentral.